AGACAGAUGUAGGCGACACGUAGGCAAAUCCGCGUGUCAUAUACCGAGGCUGUUGAUCGAGCGAGCUUGCUCGCGAAGUAACUGAACGAGGUCCCAGGAAAAGCCACUAAGCUUCAGCUUGUAAUUGACCGUACCGCAAACCGACACUGGUGCGCGAGAUGAGUAUUCUAAGGCGCUUGAGAGAACUCAGGAGAAGGAACUCGGCAAAACUGGCCCCGUAACUUCGGGAGAAGGGGUACCUACGCAAGUAGGUCACAGUGAAGAGUCCCAGGCGACUGUUUACCAAAAACNCAGGUCUCCGCAAAGUCGUAAGACGACGUAUG
This 323-nucleotide ribosomal RNA is filed under the name uncultured bacterium. RNAcentral's name for it is "bacterial LSU rRNA". It matches the Rfam family "Bacterial large subunit ribosomal RNA", at positions 1513 to 1847 of the family's 2925-position model. The record is from RNAcentral.